This 336-nucleotide unclassified non-coding RNA is filed under the name soil metagenome. Its description in RNAcentral is "partial contains 5.8S ribosomal RNA, internal transcribed spacer 2, and large subunit ribosomal RNA". The stretch from base 1 to 120 matches the Rfam family "5.8S ribosomal RNA", at positions 35 to 154 of the family's 154-position model. The record is from RNAcentral.
GAUGAAGAACGUAGCGAAAUGCGAUAAGUAAUGUGAAUUGCAGAGUUUAGUGAAUCAUCGAAUCUUUGAACGCACAUUGCGCCCGCUAGUAUUCUGGCGGGCAUGCCUGUCCGAGCGUCAUUUCAACCCAUCAAGCUUAGCGCUUGUGUUGGAGCCCUGCGGCCGCCGCAGCCUCCUAAAAUCAGUGGCGGGCUCGCUAUCACGCUGAGUGCAGUAGUAUUCUUCUCACUCCUGUGGUGUAGCGGGUAACCAGCCGUAAACCCCCCCAUCUAUAAAGGUUGACCUCGGAUCAGGUAGGAAUACCCGCUGAACUUAAGCAUAUCAAUAAGCGGAGGA